RNAcentral lists this ribosomal RNA (494 nucleotides) under uncultured bacterium. RNAcentral describes it as "partial 16S ribosomal RNA". It matches the Rfam family "Bacterial small subunit ribosomal RNA", at positions 28 to 507 of the family's 1533-position model. The record is from RNAcentral.
GACGAACGCUGGCGGCGCGCUUAACACAUGCAAGUCGAACGGAAAGGCCUGCUUUCCCUUGUGGAUUGCGGGUACUCGAGUGGCGAACGGGUGAGUAACACGUGAGUGAUCUGCCCCCAACUUGGGUAUAAGCCUGGGAAACUGGGUCUAAUUCCCGAUAGGACUGCAGGGUGGUGCCUGUGGUGGAAAACGAUUUGCUAGUGGUUGGGGAUGAGCUCGCGGCCUAUCAGCUUGUUGGUGGGGUAAUGGCCUCCCAAGGCGGCGACGGGUAGCCGGCCUGAGAGGGUGGACGGCCACAUUGGGACUGAGAUACGGCCCAGACUCCUACGGGAGGCAGCAGUGGGGAAUAUUGCACAAUGGGCGGAAGCCUGAUGCAGCGACGCCGCGUGGGGGAUGACGGCCUUCGGGUUGUAAACUCCUUUCGACCGCGAGGAAGCCACCUGGUUGGAAGGGUGGUGACGGUAGUGGUAGAAGAAGCACCGGCUAACUACGUG